UACGUAGGGAGCAAGCGUUAUCCGGAUUUAUUGGGUGUAAAGGGUGCGUAGACGGGUUGAUAAGUUAGUUGUGAAAUCCCUCGGCUCAACUGAGGAACUGCAACUAAAACUGUCAAUCUUGAGUGUUGGAGAGGAAAGCGGAAUUCCUAGUGUAGCGGUGAAAUGCGUAGAUAUUAGGAGGAACACCAGUGGCGAAGGCGGCUUUCUGGACAAUAACUGACGUUGAGGCACGAAAGUGUGGGGAGCAA
RNAcentral lists this ribosomal RNA (248 nucleotides) under uncultured Oscillospiraceae bacterium. Its description in RNAcentral is "partial 16S ribosomal RNA". It matches the Rfam family "Bacterial small subunit ribosomal RNA", at positions 524 to 771 of the family's 1533-position model. The record is from RNAcentral. Lineage: Bacteria; Bacillati; Bacillota; Clostridia; Eubacteriales; Oscillospiraceae.